RNAcentral lists this ribosomal RNA (2782 nucleotides) under Vibrio cholerae. RNAcentral's name for it is "partial 23S ribosomal RNA". It matches the Rfam family "Bacterial large subunit ribosomal RNA". Lineage: Bacteria; Pseudomonadati; Pseudomonadota; Gammaproteobacteria; Vibrionales; Vibrionaceae. The record is from RNAcentral.
GUUGUAUGGUUAAGUGACUAAGCGUACACGGUGGAUGCCUGGGCAGUCAGAGGCGAUGAAGGACGUACUAACUUGCGAUAAGCGCAGAUAAGGCAGUAAGAGCCGUUUGAGUCUGCGAUUUCCGAAUGGGGAAACCCAACUGCAUAAGCAGUUACUGUUAACUGAAUACAUAGGUUAACAGAGCAAACCGGGGGAACUGAAACAUCUAAGUACCCCGAGGAGAAGAAAUCAACCGAGAUUCCGGUAGUAGCGGCGAGCGAACCUGGAUUAGCCCUUAAGCACUCGGUGAAGUAGGUGAACAAGCUGGAAAGCUUGGCGAUACAGGGUGAUAGCCCCGUAACCGACGCUUCAUCGAGCGUGAAAUCGAGUAGGGCGGGACACGUGAUAUCCUGUCUGAAUAUGGGGGGACCAUCCUCCAAGGCUAAAUACUCCUGACUGACCGAUAGUGAACCAGUACCGUGAGGGAAAGGCGAAAAGAACCCCUGUGAGGGGAGUGAAAUAGAACCUGAAACCGUGUACGUACAAGCAGUAGGAGCACCUUCGUGGUGUGACUGCGUACCUUUUGUAUAAUGGGUCAGCGACUUAUAUUCAGUGGCAAGGUUAACCGUAUAGGGGAGCCGUAGCGAAAGCGAGUCUUAACUGGGCGCUUAGUCUCUGGAUAUAGACCCGAAACCGGGUGAUCUAGCCAUGGGCAGGUUGAAGGUUGAGUAACAUCAACUGGAGGACCGAACCGACUAAUGUUGAAAAAUUAGCGGAUGACUUGUGGCUAGGGGUGAAAGGCCAAUCAAACUCGGAGAUAGCUGGUUCUCCCCGAAAGCUAUUUAGGUAGCGCCUCGGACGAAUACUACUGGGGGUAGAGCACUGUUAAGGCUAGGGGGUCAUCCCGACUUACCAACCCUUUGCAAACUCCGAAUACCAGUAAGUACUAUCCGGGAGACACACGGCGGGUGCUAACGUCCGUCGUGGAGAGGGAAACAACCCAGACCGCCAGCUAAGGUCCCAAAGUAUUGCUAAGUGGGAAACGAUGUGGGAAGGCUCAGACAGCUAGGAUGUUGGCUUAGAAGCAGCCAUCAUUUAAAGAAAGCGUAAUAGCUCACUAGUCGAGUCGGCCUGCGCGGAAGAUGUAACGGGGCUAAGCAAUACACCGAAGCUGCGGCAAUGUCUUUUAGACAUUGGGUAGGGGAGCGUUCUGUAAGCCGUUGAAGGUGAAUCGUAAGGUUUGCUGGAGGUAUCAGAAGUGCGAAUGCUGACAUGAGUAACGACAAAGGGGGUGAAAAACCUCCUCGCCGGAAGACCAAGGGUUCCUGUCCAACGUUAAUCGGGGCAGGGUGAGUCGACCCCUAAGGUGAGGCCGAAAGGCGUAAUCGAUGGGAAACGGGUUAAUAUUCCCGUACUUCUGACUAUUGCGAUGGGGGGACGGAGAAGGCUAGGUGGGCCAGGCGACGGUUGUCCUGGUUCAAGUGCGUAGGCUUGAGAGUUAGGUAAAUCCGGCUCUCUUUAAGGCUGAGACACGACGUCGAGCUGCUACGGCAGUGAAGUCAUUGAUGCCAUGCUUCCAGGAAAAGCCUCUAAGCUUCAGAUAGUCAGGAAUCGUACCCCAAACCGACACAGGUGGUCGGGUAGAGAAUACCAAGGCGCUUGAGAGAACUCGGGUGAAGGAACUAGGCAAAAUGGUACCGUAACUUCGGGAGAAGGUACGCUCUUGAUGGUGAAGUCCCUCGCGGAUGGAGCUGACGAGAGUCGCAGAUACCAGGUGGCUGCAACUGUUUAUUAAAAACACAGCACUGUGCAAAAUCGCAAGAUGACGUAUACGGUGUGACGCCUGCCCGGUGCCGGAAGGUUAAUUGAUGGGGUUAGCGCAAGCGAAGCUCUUGAUCGAAGCCCCGGUAAACGGCGGCCGUAACUAUAACGGUCCUAAGGUAGCGAAAUUCCUUGUCGGGUAAGUUCCGACCUGCACGAAUGGCGUAAUGAUGGCCACGCUGUCUCCACCCGAGACUCAGUGAAAUUGAAAUCGCUGUGAAGAUGCAGUGUACCCGCGGCUAGACGGAAAGACCCCGUGAACCUUUACUACAGCUUGGCACUGAACAUUGAACCUACAUGUGUAGGAUAGGUGGGAGGCUAUGAAGACGUGACGCCAGUUGCGUUGGAGCCGUCCUUGAAAUACCACCCUUGUAUGUUUGAUGUUCUAACUUAGACCCAUUAUCUGGGUUGAGGACAGUGCCUGGUGGGUAGUUUGACUGGGGCGGUCUCCUCCCAAAGAGUAACGGAGGAGCACGAAGGUGGGCUAAUCACGGUUGGACAUCGUGAGGUUAGUGCAAUGGCAUAAGCCCGCUUAACUGCGAGAAUGACGGUUCGAGCAGGUGCGAAAGCAGGUCAUAGUGAUCCGGUGGUUCUGUAUGGAAGGGCCAUCGCUCAACGGAUAAAAGGUACUCCGGGGAUAACAGGCUGAUACCGCCCAAGAGUUCAUAUCGACGGCGGUGUUUGGCACCUCGAUGUCGGCUCAUCACAUCCUGGGGCUGAAGUCGGUCCCAAGGGUAUGGCUGUUCGCCAUUUAAAGUGGUACGCGAGCUGGGUUUAGAACGUCGUGAGACAGUUCGGUCCCUAUCUGCCGUGGGCGUUGGAAGAUUGAAGGGGGCUGCUCCUAGUACGAGAGGACCGGAGUGGACGAACCUCUGGUGUUCGGGUUGUGUCGCCAGACGCAUUGCCCGGUAGCUAAGUUCGGAAUUGAUAAGCGCUGAAAGCAUCUAAGCGCGAAGCGAGCCCUGAGAUGAGUCUUCCCUGA